GCGGUUCAUCUUCUCCAUCAUUAACAUCUCAGCUUUUUGGCUCGAGAGAUAAUCCUCCUCCUCCUUCUUCUUCUUAUUCCUCUUGGAUUUUCGGAUCCAUUUUUGCUCCUCCUUUAAAGGUGAGUUUCCUUUCUCCAAAAGCUUCGAUUUUUUUUGUUUGAUUUGGCGUAUCCAUUAAUUGCUGAAGAUUUCCAAUUUCGUUGGGAAUGAAUUUGGAAAUUUUUUAAUUAUUCUAAUUUUAUCAUAGCGGAAUUAAUUUUAUUUUUUUGUUCGUAUUCAUAGUUUUUCUUUUGUUCCUCUGUUUGCAAAAAGGAUUAAUUUUGAAAAGGUAGAUCAUUUUUUUUUAAAAAAAAGUGGAAGACCCUACACAAGAUUAAGAAUAAGAAGAGUUUUCGUGAUUGGUAGCUUGGUGCACAAGUUUCUCUAAUCCAAAUUAACACUAUUCUGCUCAGAUUUAGAAAUUUGAUGGAUGUGUUCUUUUGUUUCAUUAGGUUAUGGGAUGAGAGACUGGAACUGGUGGCAGUGGUGGCUGGAACGACAAAUCCUCAAAUUAACCUAAUGAAACAAAAGGACACACCCAUCAAAUUUUAAAAUCUGAGCAGAAUAGUGUUAAAUUUUGAUUAGAGAAACUUGUGUGUCAAAUCACCAAUCACGAAAACUCUUCUUAUUCUUAAUUUGGGGUUGUGGGGUCUUCCACUUAAAAAAAUGGUCUACUUUUUCAAAAUUAAUCUUUUUUUUUUUAUUUUGCAAACAGAGGAACAAAAGAAAAACUAUGAAUACAAACUAAAAGAUCAAAUCAAUUCCGCUAUGAUAAAAUCAGAAUAAUUCGAAAAAUUUCAAAUCUAUUCCUAACGAAAUUGGAAAUCUUUAGCAAUUAAUCGAUACGCCAAAUCAAACAAAAAAAAUCGAAGCUUUUGCAUAAAGGAAUCUCACCUUAGAAGGAGGAGAAAAAAUGGAUCUGAAAAUUCAAAAAGAAGAAGAAGGAAAAGGAGGAGGAUUAUCU
Molecule: long non-coding RNA, 1003 nt
Filed under: Brassica rapa (field mustard)
Lineage: Eukaryota; Viridiplantae; Streptophyta; Magnoliopsida; Brassicales; Brassicaceae
Description: long non-coding RNA (BRAP_LNC001005)
Source: RNAcentral